RNAcentral lists this long non-coding RNA (2649 nucleotides) under Amborella trichopoda. RNAcentral's name for it is "long non-coding RNA (ATRI_LNC003029)". Lineage: Eukaryota; Viridiplantae; Streptophyta; Magnoliopsida; Amborellales; Amborellaceae. The record is from RNAcentral.
UUCUUUUGGAGUGAGGUUUAGGAAAGGGGAGAUAGAAUCAAUGUCUAAGAGAUAGAAUAUAGAAGAGAGUAGGUGAGACUUAGGUUGAAGCCGAUUUUUAAAGGUACUUUAAUUAUAUUUAGAGAUGAGAGCGAGAGAGAGAGAGAGGGAGAGGGAGGAAAGAGACAAAUUGAAAGGACAAGCCCUUGGGAUGUAAAAUGGAGAGAUUUUAGGGAAAGGGAGAAGUGAUGGGUGCAAUACAUUUGUUGAUUAGGAACUAAAGUCGAGUGCGGUAAGUUAUAAAUUUUAGUUUACAUUGGUCAUCUUUUGGGCGAUUUAAUUUGAAUCAGAAUACACACGCAUUUCCAAGUUAAUUAGUAUCUAAGAAAAAUAUAUUAUCUAUUUAUUUUUUAUCAAAACUCCUCUAAUAGUAACACUCGUCAAACUGCAAAAGGCCUUGCAAUAGACGAAUGCACAAAUUAAAGAGGCUUAGUACAUAGUACUUGUUUUUAAAAUUGGCUUAGAUUUAUUGCCUUUUCAUUUUUCCUGGUUGAUGAUCAAUUAUUCUUUCUUUUGUUUGUGACUAAGUAGAUAGGAAAAUGUGGAUCAUAAAGGAUUGGAAUUUUAUUUUUUUCCAUGGUUUCUAAGGAAAUGAAUGUAAAACCCUUGAGAGCCUCAACUUUAGCAACUGGUUUAGGCAAUAAUGUACUUAUGUCUUGGUUUAAACACAUGCCCAUUCUUUAGAUAUAGUUGAUUGUGAAGUUUCUGGCAUAUUUUCUUUAUUUCAACUAAAACCUUGACAUUUUGGGUGUUGAAAAUGGUUUUUCUUAUCUCUUUUGAAGAGUGAUGUGUAUGAAUUUUAAAUUGAAAGCUACAAGGAUUGAUUUUCUAAUACUUAUGGGUAACUGUUAAGACUUACGAACUUUUUAUUGUAGUAAUCACAUUGACAAAGUUGGUGAAAUUUUUUGUGUGAUUGCCAUCUAGCUGGACUCUAAAAGUUGCACGAGUGCCUGAAUUCUCAUUCUAGAGGUAAUUAUUGAACUGAAGAAGAUAUUGUGUCUCAUUUUUGUCCAAGAUGCCCUUUUGUAGGGAUUGUACUUUCUAUUCAAAUUUAGUUAUCUCUUGCAUUAUUUGUGAAAUUCAUUUAUGUUUGGAGCUCAAUUUUACUGAACUUGUACCUGAAUUGACGUUUGAUAUUCAAACCAGCAAUCUUUUCGGGAGAUGUGCAACUAUGUAGUGGAAGACCCUAAACCACUAUUCUUCAAGCUACUAUCAAACCAUUUCAGGCUAGUUAUGUCACUUUUUCUGUUCUAUGAUGUGACUCAAUAUUUCUAAUGGGCAAUCUCAAUACUGAUUGUGACAUACAUGACCAGAUUGAUUUCAAGUUAAUUAAACCUUGGUAAUGCACAUUCCAUAAUAUUGCUUUAUAGCAUGUUAAUCAUAUUUCUCUCUCGAACUCUAAUUUACGUGGGGAACAAAAUGUCUUCUGAACUAGGGAAUGUGAGGAAGGGGCUGUAGUCAAGAUAAAGAGGAAGGUAGGUAGUGACAGUGGUGUUGAUUGCAUGGUUGCGUGAGAAAUUUCAAGCUUGGUCAUGGAACGAGGUAUUGCUUGCUUGGAUCACCAUGAUUUGACAUUCAUUUGGUGAGGUCUAAAAUGCAUGGACAGACGGUUUGUGGGAAUAGAAAGAUGCUUUUUUCUUUUUGGUGGUGGAGGAGGAACGGACAAUGAUGCUGUAAGGGUAGCGAACCAAAAGGCUAGGUUGUGGAUGGUAAGGUUAGGGAAUGCUGCAGGUUGGGUGGGAGGAAAGGUUAGGUUGUGGUUGGGGAGCUUUUGAAACGCUUGCAAUGGCCUUAUUAAUCAUUUGAUAAAAAAUGAAUGACAAAACCAAUUCAAUUAUUAAUUUUUCUGUUAUUUAUCAAUAUCCUCAUAUACAUAUUUUGAUAGAACCAAAUGAGUUGGUCAAUCAUUAUAUCUAGCUGUUGUCAACAAGCAUAUAUGUUGGUAACAAAUAUUCAUCAAUUUGUAUCAAUGUAUACUUGGAGAUUGGGCGGCUUUGGCAAAACUUAAGGCUAUUUAGUUCUCUUUUCCAACCUGAGCUUGUUUAAUAAUGCUUUUUGUGUUUUAUGAUUCUAGUUUUUUCUUCGGCCUCUAGGAUGGUGUUAUAACUUACUGAUAGAAAAUAUACAUUGUUUACAAUCUUGUUUGCUCUAUUGUUUUGUGUAAGCAAUUAACUGUAGUGAAGCUGGACUUGGACAUUGUUUACAAUCUUAUUUGCUCUAUUGUUUGCUCUACAUUUUUUUUUUUUAAAUAUAGCACUUCUAUUUUUUUUGUUGCUUUAUCAUUUCGAAAUUUGAGGUGGUCUUUAGAUUUGUUUUUGAAUCCUUCUAUUGAUUUGGUAAUUUAACAUCGGGUUUUGGAGAGGGUGCUUAAAAUUGUUUCUGUACGCUCUUAGUAGAAUUCCAACAUUUUCAUGACAGCUUCUAUUCCAAAUUAUGUAGGAAAGAAUAAUAAGAAAAACAUGGCUACCCACACUGUAACAAGUGUCUGCUUCAGAUCUGUUCCUAAAAUGUUGGACAGUCUACGUUUGUUUUUUUUUUAAAGUAUUCCAAAUGUAUAUAAAUAUAGAAACAAUGCUUUGAAAGCAUGGGAUUUGUAAUAAUGGGGUCAAC